GAGUGCGUAGGUGGCACCUUAAGCGCAGGGUUUAAGGCAAUGGCUCAACCAUUGUUCGCCUUGCGAACUGGGGUGCUUGAGUGCAGGAGGGGAAAGUGGAAUUCCUAGUGUAGCGGUGAAAUGCGUAGAUAUUAGGAAGAACACCAGUGGCGAAGGCGACUUUCUGGACGAAAACUGACGCUGAGGCGCGAAAGCCAGGGGAGCGAACGGGAUUAGAUACCCCGGUAGUCCUGGCCGUAAACGAUGGGUACUAGGUGUAGGAGGUAUCGACCCCUUCUGUGCCGGAGUUAACGCAAUAAGUACCCCGCCUGGGGAGUACGACCGCAAGGUUGAAACUCAAAGGAAUUGACGGGGGCCCGCACAAGCGGUGGAGCAUGUGGUUUAAUUCGAUGGUACGCGAGGAACCUUACCUGGGUUUGACAUCUAGUAGAAGACUUUAGAGAUAAGGUCGGGUAGCAAUACCCUGCUAGACAGGUGCUGCAUGGCUGUCGUCAGCUCGUGUCGUGAG
This 508-nucleotide ribosomal RNA is filed under the name uncultured bacterium. Its description in RNAcentral is "bacterial SSU rRNA". It matches the Rfam family "Bacterial small subunit ribosomal RNA", at positions 565 to 1071 of the family's 1533-position model. The record is from RNAcentral.